UUGCCCUUCAGCUUCUUCUUGGUUCUAUGUUUUUAUCCCCCUUUGCACAGCGAAAGGACAACUUUGCCCUCAGUGGCCAUGCAUUCUUCAUCGAUGGCCUUUUCUGUUCGAUUUAUCCGCUUUUCAUUUUGCUUCUCUCUCUCACGCCAUUUCCUGCAAUCGGUUUUUUCUUUUUCUGCCCCACGUCUACACGUGUUGGUCAUCACGAAUUGGAAAGCAGUGGAAAGGCGAGGAAAGCAAUGGAAAAGCCCAUUUGCUUCCAUUCCAUGUUCUCAGAAGGGGCAUUCUAUCCCAUAGCCGUUCUUGAGUUCUCUCGAUGGCGUAUUCUCUCUCACUCUCUUGCUAAAAAUGACGGAACCGGUGCAGAUCUUUUUUUCUGCAAAAAUGGAAACGAUGGCAUGUUCUUCCCUUAUUCUCUAGCUUCCUUCCUCAUCCUCAUCCGUUGGACAGCAUCCCCUCCAUUUAGACCUAUCUCUUAGAAAGUAAAUGAAGAACCCAGAAGAGAUAUGUUCACUUAAAGACUUCAUAGGAACGUCCUUCAUUGGGUUAGAAAGUGAUUCAAUUCCAAGAUUUCUCAAUGUUUUGUCAAAGCCCUCAAAUUUGGUUUCAACCGUUUUAUCUCAAUCUCACAAUCGUCGGUGCAAGACCUUGAGAAUAUUGGUCUUUGUUUUCGUCUCCGACCGCGGAGUUCAACCGGCUUUCUGAUGAAUUUCCAGUCCCAUCCAGGCACGCCAUGCCUUGAAAUCACGACCAGGGUGUUGGUCUAUGUUAUCAUCGGUGAUCCCGAAGCUGGGAUCGUUGUUGGACAAGUUGAAUUGAACUCAGUGUGAUUGCAGAUGAGCAUUUGAGGUAGAGAUUUCGGGUUUUCCCCCGAAGGCAAGAACUAAAACCUAAACAGAUAAAUUAGGACAUGAAUUAUGGAUAAAAGACAUGCAAUAAACUGGUAGAAUCUAAAGCUAAUCUAAUAUGGACUACCAAAAUCAUGAACUAUCAAUUUUCCAUCUUUUCAAUUUCUAUAGAGCACCUUCGUGCAAAUGAGUCUUACAAACUUCCACUCGGUGCUAUCAAUUUUGUUAGAAUUAACAAUUCUGUUUUGUCGUUUAUUUAUACCUGUAUACGUAUAUCUGUGCUUUUAAAAAUAUGCGCGUUUGGGCACGAACACCCUCUUUUACAUAUGAGUUAUCCUUGAGCAGAUGCAUAGAAAUUGAAUUGCAGCUGAGGCAACUAUUUUGUCGCUGUCCCAGCCUCCCCCAACCAUGCCAGGCAUGUAAAUUCAUUAUUUGUAAGUUAAAGUAUGUUAUGCAUGUUAAACACAAGUUAUGAUUUUUUUGUUCCGUAAUUAGCUAUGUAUUUGCCUUAAUCUGCAUGUCUGUAGUGUAGAUAAUUUUAACCAACAUUAUAGAAUCCAUGUUCUAUUGAAAAUUUGAAUGUUCUGAGAUGGAAAAGAUAAUUUUUGGGAUACUUAGUUUCAUCAGGAAACAAUAAUGUUUAUCAUCACCAAGUGGUACAAAGAGUAUUUUAAAGUGUUUUUUAACCAAUCUAUUGUCGAGUUUUCUAGCGGGUUUCUUAUUUUAUUUUCCGUUGUUUUGCAAGAAACCAGUGCCUUUCCAUGCUCGAGACUUCCACAGGAAUGUCACCGCUCUUUUACAUAUUUCUACUUUGAUUUCCAAUACGAGGUUAAAGCCUUUGAUUUCCAACAAAUUUCAAUUAGGUAAUUUGAUUUCCCUCAAAAGAUAUAAAUUAUGUUUUUUCUUUAAUCAUUUUUUUUUUUAUAAUAUUCAACCCAUUUCAAUUUAAUACCAACUGAAUCCUAAUUUGUUCAAUUUUUUUUCAUUAGGCGAUUGAGUGUGGUUGUUUGCCGUUCUCUUUGAGAAAUACAAGCUAUGCUACAAUCCCAGUUAGUGUUUUAAGUUGUUAACUUACUAUUUAAACUUCAAUUUUCCAGCCACAUUAGGAAAAUUUGCUAGGCUUUUCAGUGUUCCUGAUGCUGUACAUCCAUUGACGACCAAGCAGGGCCACUCUGUUUAGGGCUUGAAGAUUUCUACGUUCACGUUUAUUUCGACUUCAGGUAUUUUGUUUCAUUGACGACGUAAAGUCAACUGCAACCACACAGUUUGGUUAUGAUUUGGUAAAAUAGGCUGAUUAUCUGCAUAUUUCAUGAGGAUAUCAAUAGGAACUAUCUACCAAAUUUUUGUGUGUAAAUAGUAUGUAUAUACACAUCAAAUAUUAUUUUUUGUAUGUAAAUAAAAUUACAUACA
Pyrus x bretschneideri (Chinese white pear) is the source of this 2258-nucleotide long non-coding RNA. RefSeq lists it as uncharacterized. Lineage: Eukaryota; Viridiplantae; Streptophyta; Magnoliopsida; Rosales; Rosaceae. The record is from RefSeq and is a predicted model, not a curated record. The transcript is spliced from 7 exons.